This 465-nucleotide ribosomal RNA is filed under the name uncultured bacterium. Its description in RNAcentral is "partial 16S ribosomal RNA". It matches the Rfam family "Bacterial small subunit ribosomal RNA", at positions 338 to 795 of the family's 1533-position model. The record is from RNAcentral.
CCUACGGGAGGCUGCAGUAGGGAAUCUUCCACAAUGGGCGCAAGCCUGAUGGAGCAACACAGCGUGAGUGAUGAAGGGUUUCGGAUUGUAAAGCUCUGUUGUUGGAGAAGAACGUUCGUGAGAGUAACUGUUCACGCAGUGACGGUAUCCAACCAGAAAGUCACGGCUAACUACGUGCCAGCAGCCGCGGUAAUACAUAGGUGGCAAGCGUUAUCCGGAUUUAUUGGGCGUAAAGCGAUCGUAGGCGGUUGCGUAGGUCUGAUGUGAAAGCCUUCGGCUUAACCGAAGAAUUGCAUCGGAAACUGGGCAACUUGAGUGCAGUAGAGGUCAGUGGAACUCAAUGUGUAGCGGUGGAAUGCGUAGAUAUAUGGAAGAACACCAGUGGCGAAGGCAGCUGUCUGGUCUGCAACUGACGCUGAGGCUCGAAAGCAUGGGUAGCAAACAGGAUUAGAUACCCGAGUAGUC